GUCAAUGGUGAUAGCAUGUUUGAAUGCACUAGUUCCCCAUGAAUCACUUAAGCAACGUUGUGUGUGGUUGGUAUCUGGAUGGGUGACCAUCUGGGCAAUCAUGUACUGCUGGAU
This 114-nucleotide ribosomal RNA is filed under the name Diaphorina citri (Asian citrus psyllid). The record is from RNAcentral. Lineage: Eukaryota; Metazoa; Arthropoda; Insecta; Hemiptera; Psyllidae.